GCAAAGAAUUCAUUAAUAAAACCACCUGGAUCUGGAAGCUGCUUUGGGAGUUCUUCAGUAAGAUUCCUAAUAUCAGCUAUGUUUUCAGGACAUGAAUGAAAUCAUACACCUAUAUGCUGAAAGGACUAAUCCAGCAGAUGGGGAGAAAGAAAAUAAUAAUGCCAGAAGGGGAGAAAAGAACAGCUGGAGAAGGAGCCUUAAAUGUGUAAAUGCUGCAAUCUACUGCUCAAGUAGAAGACUAGACUUUGUUAGGAGCACUGAUACUGAGUCAUGAGAACAAGAAGGAAAAAAAUGAAGGUAUGAAGAUAGUUAACACAGGCAAACUUUUUGGUACUUUAAUAAACAAAUAACGUUGGCUCUAC
Long non-coding RNA from Panthera uncia (snow leopard), 362 nucleotides. RefSeq lists it as uncharacterized. The record is from RefSeq and is a predicted model, not a curated record. The transcript has 2 exons. Lineage: Eukaryota; Metazoa; Chordata; Mammalia; Carnivora; Felidae.